GACGAACGCUGGCGGCGCGCCUAACACAUGCAAGUCGAACGAGCGAGCGAGAGCUUGCUUUCUUGAGCGAGUGGCGAACGGGUGAGUAACGCGUGAGGAACCUGCCUCAAAGAGGGGGACAACAGUUGGAAACGACUGCUAAUACCGCAUAAGCCCACGGUGCCGCAUGGCACAGAGGGAAAAGGAGCAAUCCGCUUUGAGAUGGCCUCGCGUCCGAUUAGCUAGUUGGUGAGGUAACGGCCCACCAAGGCGACGAUCGGUAGCCGGACUGAGAGGUUGAACGGCCACAGUGGGACUGAGACACGGCCCAGACUCCUACGGGAGGCAGCAGUGGGGAAUAUUGCACAAUGGGGGAAACCCUGAUGCAGCGACGCCGCGUGGAGGAAGAAGGUCUUCGGAUUGUAAACUCCUGUUGUUGGGGAAGAUAAUGACGGUACCCAACAAGGAAGUGACGGCUAACUACGUG
This 466-nucleotide ribosomal RNA is filed under the name uncultured bacterium. Its description in RNAcentral is "partial 16S ribosomal RNA". It matches the Rfam family "Bacterial small subunit ribosomal RNA", at positions 28 to 507 of the family's 1533-position model. The record is from RNAcentral.